Molecule: unclassified non-coding RNA, 335 nt
Filed under: soil metagenome
Description: partial contains 5.8S ribosomal RNA, internal transcribed spacer 2, and large subunit ribosomal RNA
Rfam family: 5.8S ribosomal RNA (bases 1-120)
Source: RNAcentral
GAUGAAGAACGUAGCGAAAUGCGAUAAGUAAUGUGAAUUGCAGAAUUCAGUGAAUCAUCGAAUCUUUGAACGCACAUUGCGCCCGCCAGUAUUCUGGCGGGCAUGCCUGUUCGAGCGUCAUUUCAACCAUCAAGCCCCGGGCUUGUGUUGGGGACCUGCGGCUGCCGCAGACCCUGAAAAGCAGUGGCGGGCUCGCUGUCACACCGAGCGUAGUAGCAUACAUCUCGCUCUGGGCGUGCUGCGGGUUCCGGCCGUUAAACCACCUUUUAACCCAAGGUUGACCUCGGAUCAGGUAGGAAGACCCGCUGAACUUAAGCAUAUCAAUAAGCGGAGGA